AAGUCGUAACAAGGUCUCCGUAGGUGAACCUGCGGAGGGAUCAUUACCGAGUGAGGGCGCCCGCCGCCCGACCUCCCAACCCUUUGAUUUGAUCAAGACCGCCUUCUGCCUCGGGGGCGACCCGGACCUCGCGGUCCGCCGGUCCCCCCGGUGGUCACCAACCAACAACUCUGCAUCAAUCGUCGUCUGAGCGUUUGAAGCGAAUUCAAUCAAAACUUUCAACAACGGAUCUCUUGGUUCUG
RNAcentral lists this unclassified non-coding RNA (242 nucleotides) under air metagenome. RNAcentral's name for it is "partial contains small subunit ribosomal RNA, internal transcribed spacer 1, and 5.8S ribosomal RNA". The stretch from base 1 to 46 matches the Rfam family "Eukaryotic small subunit ribosomal RNA", at positions 1786 to 1831 of the family's 1831-position model. The record is from RNAcentral.